ACACACAGACUCUGCAGGGGAUAGAAGUUGGCUAUGUUGUUCCAUAAGCAUAUUUUCAACUCAGCACAAUGAAGACCAUUGUCCUAGAUGGCCUGCUGGGGAAAUGGAUUAUGUAAUUAUGAAGAGCUGAGAUUUAACACUUAUGCCAGUAUCUGCUGGCCAGGCUGGAGGGCAGUGGCAAUCAUAGCUCACUGUAGCCUUGAACUCCUGGGCUUAGGUGUUCUCCUGACUCAGUCUUCCAAGUAGCUGGAACUACAGGUGUGUGCCACCAUGCCUGGCUAAUUUUUUAAAUCUUUUGCAGAGAUAGGGUCUUGCUAUGUUGCCCAGACUGGUCUCCAACUCUUGGACUCAGAAAUCAACUCUAAGGAAAGAAGUAGGCAGGAAACCUGUUGAAAGAAAAUGAAAGCAUUAUAUUUCAGCAAUUACUUAAAUCCUGCAAGAAGAUCAUGUUUGAUGGACACUGAAACUGGACAUUGUAGAAGAUGAAUUAUGAGAGUGAUUUAUGAAAGAAAGACAGUGGAGAAUUGCAAUCGAUGGAGACAUUCAAAGAAAAGACUUUGGCACUACAUCAAAAGAGAGUAGAAUAAGUAGUCUUUGCUUAUACAUUUUAAAUGAAAAUAAAUGUUUAUCAUACAUAUUUGCUGUUUUUUAAACUGUAAUUCAAUUACUAAGGCUGAAGGGAAGAAUGGAUGUUGGAUAAAGAACUUUCGAUUCUGUCAUUGUUAGUAUUAUUUGUGUGCGUAUGUGUGUGUGUGUGUGUGUGUGAAUGUUGAGCUUCUCAGCUUCAAUAGUUAGCAGGAAAAAGCACUGAAUCGUGAAGCAUAAACUACAAAUAUAGCAUCUGUAUGAUAUUCUCUUUAAAAAAUGGUAAAAUUCUAGGAAACAGUCUUUGGUGCUUGCUUUUUUAGAAUGAUUGGCAUGGGAUCUGAGUCUUAGUUUCAGCUUUUAUGACUGCUUUUUACUGCAUCAAAUAUUUGACCAGGCAAAGUACAUUUCAAUGAACAGCUUUACUCCCCUUUAAAAGAAUCUGAAAGUCCAGCUAAAACUCCUCAUCAAGUUAGCUGGGAUCAUGGUGUUCAUUUUGGAUGAGGCAAUGUACUAAUUCAUUCAGUCAGCUCGAUUUGACAUUUCUGGGUUAGGGUAUCUUCCUUAAAAGUUACACAAUAAGUUGGAAUUAAAGUGCUCUGCUUGCUUUUGAUAAGACUGAUCAAAAGAGUGAUAGGAGUAAUCACUACUUAGAAUCCUAUUUAAUAAGUAUUUUCCAUUUAUCUAACUCUAAGGAGAAUUUAGGCUAUUUGUCUAGUGAAAUCCAUUUGAUACCAGGAUUUGUUAUGGCCAUUCUACAAUCAGGUGUUCCUAAUGUAAUGAAUGAGAUAAAAAAUAAUUAAGCUAACAUUUAUAUGAUGCUUACUACUUCCAGAAACUGUUAUUAUGCAUUAUUAACUGACUUAAUCCUCCUUACCACUUUAGGGGGUAGAUACUAUUAUUAUUCCUUUUUUUUUCAGAUGACGAAACUAAAGCACAAAGAGAUUAAAGAACUUAUCCAAGGUCAUGCAGCUGGAAAGAAGUGGAUUUGGGAUUGUGAACAUCACAAUUUCACAAACUACAUUUCAUGAUGGGUAGAGCUAGUCAAACGUCUGAAAAUAAAGUUUGGUUUAAAGAUGACCAUCGUCUUGUUAAGAAAUUAUAUAAAUGAGUAUCACUAAAAAGUCUCUCUUUAAACUCACCAAGCACUCUUCACUAUGGACAAGAAAGUGUGAAUAUGGUUAUUUUUUAUUUAAUAUUUUCA
This 1789-nucleotide long non-coding RNA is filed under the name Homo sapiens (human). RNAcentral's name for it is "HSALNT0376657". The record is from RNAcentral. Lineage: Eukaryota; Metazoa; Chordata; Mammalia; Primates; Hominidae.